Small nucleolar RNA from Psammomys obesus (fat sand rat), 139 nucleotides. RefSeq annotates it as small nucleolar RNA SNORA48. The record is from RefSeq and is a predicted model, not a curated record. NCBI's taxonomy places the organism in Eukaryota, Metazoa, Chordata, Mammalia, Rodentia, Muridae. The transcript has a single exon.
CCCGCCGGGCAAUGGCCAAAGAGACACCGUGUUGGUGGUGGUUUUCUUAUAUCAGGGCAGAGAAGAUGGCAGUUCUUUGAUCAUCCUAGCUUGAUGGCUGGCUUGGUGACUAAAGCUGUCUUAUGCCUAGGACCCAUAA